AUAUUAGACGAAUCAUCUGGAAAGAUGAAUCAAAGAAGGUAACAAUCCUGUAGUUGAAAAUAUUGUCUCUCUUGAGUGGAUCCUGAGUACGACGGAGCACGUGAAAUUCCGUCGGAAUCUGGGAGGACCAUCUCCCAAGGCUAAAUACUCUCUAGUGACCGAUAGUGAACCAGUACCGUGAGGGAAAGGUGAAAAGCACCCCGGAAGGGGAGUGAAAUAGAACCUGAAACCGUGUGCUUACAAGUAGUCAGAGCCCGUUAAUGGGUGAUGGCGUGCCUUUUGUAGAAUGAACCGGCGAGUUACGAUUUGAUGCAAGGUUAAGCAGUAAAUGUGGAGCCGUAGCGAAAGCGAGUCUGAAUAGGGCGUUUAGUAUUUGGUCGUAGACCCGAAACCAGGUGAUCUACCCUUGGUCAGGUUGAAGUUCAGGUAACACUGAAUGGAGGACCGAACCGACUUACGUUGAAAAGUGAGCGGAUGAACUGAGGGUAGCGGAGAAAUUCCAAUCGAACCUGGAGAUAGCUGGUUCUCUCCGAAAUAGCUUUAGGGCUAGCCUCAAGUGAUGAUUAUUGGAGGUAGAGCACUGUUUGGACGAGGGGCCCUUCUCGGGUUACCGAAUUCAGACAAACUCCGAAUGCCAAUUAAUUUAACUUGGGAGUCAGAACAUGGGUGAUAAGGUCCGUGUUCGAAAGGGAAACAGCCCAGACCACCAGCUAAGGUCCCAAAAUAUAUGUUAAGUGGAAAAGGAUGUGGCGUUGCCCAGACAACUAGGAUGUUGGCUUAGAAGCAGCCAUCAUUUAAAGAGUGCGUAAUAGCUCACUAGUCGAGUGACACUGCGCCGAAAAUGUACCGGGGCUAAACAUAUUACCGAAGCUGUGGAUUGUCCUUUGGACAAUGGUAGGAGAGCGUUCUAAGGGCGGUGAAGCAUGAUCGCAAGGACAUGUGGAGCGCUUAGAAGUGAGAAUGCCGGUGUGAGUAGCGAAAGACGGGUGAGAAUCCCGUCCACCGAUUGACUAAGGUUUCCAGAGGAAGGCUCGUCCGCUCUGGGUUAGUCGGGUCCUAAGCUGAGGCCGACAGGCGUAGGCGAUGGAUAACAGGUUGAUAUUCCUGUACCACCUAUAAUCGUUUUAAUCGAUGGGGGGACGCAGUAGGAUAGGCGAAGCGUGCGAUUGGAUUGCACGUCUAAGCAGUAAGGCUGAGUACUAGGCAAAUCCGGUACUCGUGAAGGCUGAGCUGUGAUGGGGAGAAGACAUUGUGUCUUCGAGUCGUUGAUUUCACACUGCCGAGAAAAGCCUCUAGAUAGAAAAUAGGUGCCCGUACCGCAAACCGACACAGGUAGUCAAGAUGAGAAUUCUAAGGUGAGCGAGCGAACUCUCGUUAAGGAACUCGGCAAAAUGACCCCGUAACUUCGGGAGAAGGGGUGCUCUUUAGGGUUAACGCCCAGAAGAGCCGCAGUGAAUAGGCCCAAGCGACUGUUUAUCAAAAACACAGGUCUCUGCUAAACCGUAAGGUGAUGUAUAGGGGCUGACGCCUGCCCGGUGCUGGAAGGUUAAGAGGAGUGGUUAGCUUCUGCGAAGCUACGAAUCGAAGCCCCAGUAAACGGCGGCCGUAACUAUAACGGUCCUAAGGUAGCGAAAUUCCUUGUCGGGUAAGUUCCGACCCGCACGAAAGGCGUAACGAUUUGGGCACUGUCUCAACGAGAGACUCGGUGAAAUCAUAGUACCUGUGAAGAUGCAGGUUACCCGCGACAGGACGGAAAGACCCCGUGGAGCUUUACUGUAGCCUGAUAUUGAAAUUCGGCACAGCUUGUACAGGAUAGGUAGGAGCCUUUGAAACGUGAGCGCUAGCUUACGUGGAGGCGCUGGUGGGAUACUACCCUAGCUGUGUUGGCUUUCUAACCCGCACCACUUAUCGUGGUGGGAGACAGUGUCAGGCGGGCAGUUUGACUGGGGCGGUCGCCUCCUAAAAGGUAACGGAGGCGCUCAAAGGUUCCCUCAGAAUGGUUGGAAAUCAUUCAUAGAGUGUAAAGGCAUAAGGGAGCUUGACUGCGAGACCUACAAGUCGAGCAGGGUCGAAAGACGGACUUAGUGAUCCGGUGGUUCCGCAUGGAAGGGCCAUCGCUCAACGGAUAAAAGCUACCCCGGGGAUAACAGGCUUAUCUCCCCCAAGAGUUCACAUCGACGGGGAGGUUUGGCACCUCGAUGUCGGCUCAUCGCAUCCUGGGGCUGUAGUCGGUCCCAAGGGUUGGGCUGUUCGCCCAUUAAAGCGGUACGCGAGCUGGGUUCAGAACGUCGUGAGACAGUUCGGUCCCUAUCCGUCGUGGGCGUAGGAAAUUUGAGAGGAGCUGUCCUUAGUACGAGAGGACCGGGAUGGACAUACCUCUGGUGUACCAGUUGUCGUGCCAACGGCAUAGCUGGGUAGCUAUGUAUGGACGGGAUAAGUGCUGAAAGCAUCUAAGCAUGAAGCCCCCCUCAAGAUGAGAUUUCCCAACUUCGGUUAUAAGAUCCCUCAAAGAUGAUGAGGUUAAUAGGUUCGAGGUGGAAGCAUGGUGACAUGUGGAGCUGACGAAUACUAAUCGAUCGAAGACUUAAUCAA
This 2592-nucleotide ribosomal RNA is filed under the name Staphylococcus simiae. RNAcentral describes it as "partial 23S ribosomal RNA". It matches the Rfam family "Bacterial large subunit ribosomal RNA", at positions 326 to 2925 of the family's 2925-position model. The record is from RNAcentral. Lineage: Bacteria; Bacillati; Bacillota; Bacilli; Caryophanales; Staphylococcaceae.